ACCAACUACCCAAACCCUACCUCCUCCCAUUGCACUCUCCCCCGCACCCGCAUCUUCUCUCUGCGCUCCCACGCCCUAGGGUUAGCCGCCGCCUCCGACGACCUUAUUCCGACGAGCUUCGACAGCCAUGGCCUGCGCGCAGCAUCCUGCGAAGCUCACCUAGUACCGCUCCGUUGAUCCCUCCAUCCAUAUCCGCCCCUCCCUACCUCCAACGCUCGCGCUCAACCAUCCCCCGCGGCUAGGGUUCGGGGCGCGACCUAGUCUCCACCACCGACAUUUCAUUGCGGAGCCUCACAGAUCUUAGAGAGCCCAACACCCACCCUCCACCAACUCCUAGGUUUUCUCCAUCGACGCUGCCGCCGCCACCCGCCUGAUCUUCGGCCACCGGAGUCCCUCCUCUCCUCUGGCCGGUGGUUUGAGAUCCGCCUCGCCCGUGAAGCACUCCGUCCAGAUCUCCCCCUCCCACCUCCGAGUGCGUGGAAAUCUUCCACCGAUUUGCAUCUCCCAUCAUGAACUAGAUGUCGUCCGAGCUGCCUCUCCUGCAGCUUGGCGCGGCUUCUCCACGGAUGCCACUAGUUACCCCUACUGCCACCGGACCUGCAUGUUCAACAAAGACCAGCCGCUGCUUCUCCCUCCACCGUGCACAUCUUCGCCAUCAUCGCCGCCGUCCUACUUUUAUUCCCCUCCUGAAUCGAGGGAGCAAGAGAGAUGAGGCGCUGAUCCUGGAGGAGGUGUCUAAAUACAACUCCAAGGAUGGCUGCUGGCUCAUCAUUGUUGGCAAGGUAUAUCCACACAUCUUCUCCCCCACUGGCCUUCCUGAUUGUUUUCUUGCAUUAUUGUCAUGCCAAGAUUCAUAUUUUGUUCUGCAUGAUUGUUUUCUUACAUUAUUGUCAUGCCAUGAUUCAGUUUUUCUUUCUUUCUCUCGGAGGGUCGCGAUACUAGUAGCUUGCAGCACAACAUGCCCUUGUCAAUUUGCCAAAACAUCUGGAAAAGAAAUUGAUACAUGUUGGUUACGUGUUGGCCAGCUGGUAGCGAUGAAAGUACAUUAGCCGACAUAUUUGUCCAGUACAGUCAGACUAUUUAUUGAAUUCUUGGUUAUGGUGAAGAAUUAGUUUGGCUUAGUACAUGUUUAGUGAUUCCUGGGGUUAAAAUCCAGAGGCAAUUCUCUGAAUUGUGAAAUGGUCUGAGAGAUUACACUCUAAUUUACUUCCAGAUUUUCACCCUGUCGGAACCGAUAAAUUAUGAGUACCCUACUUCUAGACUUUCACCCCGCUUUAUACAAGGUCGGAACACUUCUAGCGAGUGUGUCUAAUUUUCUGAUGGUCAUCAAAAACUAGGCUUUCACCCCAUUAAGAAUCACAUUUGUUAAUGUGGGUUCCAAUUCUCUAUCUGAAGUCUGGGCAUAACUUCGGAUCUUUUGUCAGUUUUUUUCAUCUUCAAUGCAUUCAAAAAUUCAUUCCUUGCAAUAACAGCUCUUUGAAAAAAAACUCAUUUCAUUUUCAACAAAGGCCUGAACAGGAAUUAAUACAGUCAUCCAUGCAUUUUUAGAAAAGUACACAUGCUUUUUAGCAAAGUAUGCAUGCCAUUCCUUUUCUUCUUUUGAAGAACAAAAUGGUACAUGUUUUGAUGCUGAGUCCACAAGUUAUAUUUUAUAUACUUAUUAAUGAGCCUUGACUUCUAAAUAGAUGUCAUUUCAUUUUGGUUAAAAGGAAACUCAAAAACUUAAUUUUUCCUAUACAAAUAAAUAAUCUAAAUCACUUUAGAUAUAGAUGGACACAUGUUUAUUUAGAACAAAAGAGAUAUACGCGGACAUAAAAAGGAUAGAAAAUCUUUGCCUAUUAUCGAUAAACAUUCUUAAUUACAUAUGGCCAAAUUAUACACGUGCAAUUUAUCAAUUGCGUGCAUACACACUUAAUAUGUUAUCCUGUGCAACAUACCUGGCUACAUUAUACUUAUGUUAUUAAUUUAUUGCACUAUUUGAGUGUACAACAUCAUGCCAUAUUUAAGUUAGCUUAAUUUGGAAAUCACAUGGAUGCCGGAGCGGGUCAUGCCCCAAGAGGCCGAAAUCACAUGGAUGUUUAACAACUCUUGUGUGUGCUAUGGCUGUGCUCAGUUUGUUGUUGAGUAUAUGUUGGUCCUAAUAUCCCCAUGGUUGCAAUGCUUCUCCUAACCAUGUCUACUGUUUAGUGCUCCUAUUUAUACAUGACUUAUAAUGAUGCUAUGGUUGGGUUUGUGUAGGCUAUUAUUUACGAUUUAGGCACUGUACUGUUCACAAACUUGCUACUUGUUAUUGGCAUGGUCUCUAGUGUUAGCAGGAAAUGAUUAACUAUAAUUUCUAGAAUUGGCCAUGAGCUAAAAUUACUAUCAUUAAUUUUACUUGUGCUCUGCAACUGCUUAAUUGGAAUGUUGUGUGUUUGCGCAUUAUGCAUAUUUACAUGUUAUUAUAUGUAUGUUGCCUGAUUGGUCGCUCAUGGUCAAAUUAUUGUAAGCGCUGGGUGGUGGCGUCCUUCCAUCAUCACCUGCCCCUUGGCAACUCAUUUUAUUUAUGUACCAAGUACACCAACUUCAACUACUCCAGCCUCCAUGUGCAGGCAUGUAAACCACAACCUUCUGGUCUGUAUGUUCUUCUCAUUUGUGAUCCUUUUAACGCGAGGAAGUUCCUCAAUCCAGAAUUGGCUACUCAGAAGAAGUGGAAAGUGGAAGACAGACGAUGCUAUGGUUUCUCAAUUUGCUGUUACAUGUGAACAAUUUAAUUUUAUGUUCUUUAAUGUGUUCCAUUGAAGCCACAGUGGUUGUAUUGGUCAUAUAGUACCAACACUUGUUGGAUUUGUAGUGGAGUUGAAGGUUGAAUUAUUUUAUGUGAUGCAUGUUUGUAAAGUAUGUGCCAUGAUGUGCUUAAAUGAACGGAACUACUUAUCAUAA
Molecule: RNA transcript, 2922 nt
Organism: Hordeum vulgare subsp. vulgare (domesticated barley)
Lineage: Eukaryota; Viridiplantae; Streptophyta; Magnoliopsida; Poales; Poaceae
Exons: 3
Source: RefSeq, a predicted model, not a curated record